Molecule: ribosomal RNA, 253 nt
Filed under: uncultured bacterium
Lineage: Bacteria
Description: partial 16S ribosomal RNA
Rfam family: Bacterial small subunit ribosomal RNA
Source: RNAcentral
UACGGAAGGUGCAAGCGUUGUUCGGAAUGACUGGGCGUAAAGGGCUCGUAGGCGGCCAACUAAGUCAGACGUGAAAUCCCUCGGCUUAACCGGGGAACUGCGUCUGAUACUGGAUGGCUUGAGUUUGGGAGAGGGAUGCGGAAUUCCAGGUGUAGCGGUGAAAUGCGUAGAUAUCUGGAGGAACACCGGUGGCGAAGGCGGCAUCCUGGACCAACACUGACGCUGAGGAGCGAAAGCCAGGGGAGCAAACGGG